RNAcentral lists this transfer-messenger RNA (346 nucleotides) under Clostridiales bacterium. It matches the Rfam family "transfer-messenger RNA". From Rfam's summary of the family: Bacterial tmRNA, also known as 10Sa RNA or SsrA, is named for its dual tRNA and mRNA-like properties. Its role is to liberate the mRNA from a stalled ribosome. Lineage: Bacteria; Bacillati; Bacillota; Clostridia; Eubacteriales. The record is from RNAcentral.
GGGGGCGUAAUGGUUUCGACGGGGAUUGCGGGGUCGAGAAUAGCCAUCCGCAGACGGUGACUGCGUAUAAAAACCGAACUUAAAUAUAAUCGACAACGAUUACGAACUAGUCGCCGCGUAAGCGGCCGUCGGCCCAAGGUCACCUGCUGCUUUGGAAUCCGGCGUCGACUAGGCAGGGCACUUUUCCGCUUAAGCUUUGCGGCGUGAAAAAGACUCAUGAAGCUACUUGACGAGGAGUCGCGUUGGUUUGUCUCCUCCGAUGGGAAAUUUGAAUAGCCAACUGUGAUGGGAGAGGUUUUCGGCUUUGGAUUUUCGGACCCGGGUUCGAUUCCCGGCGCCUCCAUUA